This 492-nucleotide ribosomal RNA is filed under the name uncultured bacterium. RNAcentral describes it as "partial 16S ribosomal RNA". It matches the Rfam family "Bacterial small subunit ribosomal RNA", at positions 28 to 507 of the family's 1533-position model. The record is from RNAcentral.
GGUGAACGCUGGCGGUAGGCCUAACACAUGCAAGUCGAACGGCAGCACAGUAAGAGCUUGCUCUUACGGGUGGCGAGUGGCGGACGGGUGAGGAAUACAUCGGAAUCUACUUUUUCGUGGGGGAUAACGUAGGGAAACUUACGCUAAUACCGCAUACGACCUACGGGUGAAAGCAGGGGAUCUUCGGACCUUGCGCGAUUGAAUGAGCCGAUGUCGGAUUAGCUAGUUGGCGGGGUAAAGGCCCACCAAGGCGACGAUCCGUAGCUGGUCUGAGAGGAUGAUCAGCCACACUGGAACUGAGACACGGUCCAGACUCCUACGGGAGGCAGCAGUGGGGAAUAUUGGACAAUGGGCGCAAGCCUGAUCCAGCCAUACCGCGUGGGUGAAGAAGGCCUUCGGGUUGUAAAGCCCUUUUGUUGGGAAAGAAAAGCAGCAGGUUAAUACCCCGCUGUUCUGACGGUACCUAAAGAAUAAGCACCGGCUAACUUCGUG